Molecule: ribosomal RNA, 484 nt
Filed under: uncultured bacterium
Lineage: Bacteria
Description: bacterial SSU rRNA
Rfam family: Bacterial small subunit ribosomal RNA
Source: RNAcentral
GACGAACGCUGGCGGCGUGCUUAACACAUGCAAGUCGAACGGUGAACCACCUUCGGGUGGGGAUCAGUGGCGAACGGGUGAGUAACACGUGGGCAACCUGCCCCUGACUUCGGAAUAACCUCGGGAAACCGAAGCUAAUACCGGAUACGACGUCGAGUGGCAUCAUUUGACGUGGAAAGUUUUUCGGUCAGGGAUGGGCCCGCGGCCUAUCAGCUUGUUGGUGGGGUAACGGCCUACCAAGGCGACUACGGGUAGCCGGCCUGAGAGGGCGACCGGCCACACUGGGACUGAGAUACGGCCCAGACUCCUACGGGAGGCAGCAGUGGGGAAUAUUGCACAAUGGGCGAAAGCCUGAUGCAGCGACGCCGCGUGAGGGAUGACGGCCUUCGGGUUGUAAACCUCUUUCGACAGGGAUGAAGCCUUCGGGUGACAGUACCUGUAGAAGAAGCACCGGCUAACUACGUGCCAGCAGCCGCCGUAAUAC